CCGGCGCACGGGUGAGUAACGCGUAUCCAACCUGCCUUACACUCUUGGACAGCCUUCUGAAAGGGAGAUUAAUACAAGAUGUUAUCAUGAGUCCGCAUGUUCACAUGAUUAAAGGUGUUCCGGUAGACGAUGGGGAUGCGUUCCAUUAGAUAGUAGGCGGGGUAACGGCCCACCUAGUCUUCGAUGGAUAGGGGUUCUGAGAGGAAGGUCCCCCACAUUGGAACUGAGACACGGUCCAA
Molecule: ribosomal RNA, 239 nt
Filed under: uncultured bacterium
Lineage: Bacteria
Description: partial 16S ribosomal RNA
Rfam family: Bacterial small subunit ribosomal RNA
Source: RNAcentral